Molecule: ribosomal RNA, 251 nt
Filed under: uncultured bacterium
Lineage: Bacteria
Description: partial 16S ribosomal RNA
Rfam family: Bacterial small subunit ribosomal RNA
Source: RNAcentral
ACAGGACAGUGGCGGAUGGGUGAGUAACGCGUAAGAAACCUGCCUUUCACACCGGGAUAGCAGCUGGAAACGGCUAUUAAUACCGGAUGACACUUUUUCCCCGCAUGAGGAAGAGGUUAAAGAAUUUCGGUGAAAGAUGGUCUUGCGUCUGAUUAGCUAGUUGGUGGGGUAACGGCCCACCAAGGCGACGAUCAGUAGCCGGCCUGAGAGGGUGAACGGCCACAUUGGGACUGAGACACGGCCCAAACUCC